This 1611-nucleotide ribosomal RNA is filed under the name Notochelys platynota. Its description in RNAcentral is "16S ribosomal RNA". The stretch from base 89 to 1530 matches the Rfam family "Bacterial large subunit ribosomal RNA". The record is from RNAcentral. Lineage: Eukaryota; Metazoa; Chordata; Testudines; Geoemydidae.
GCAACAACCUAGCCCAACUACUAAAAAUAGAAAACAACAAACAAAAACAAUCCCACCAAAACCAAUCAAAACAUUUUUCACCAUCCUAGUAUAGGCGAUAAAAAAGAUAGUUAGAGCAAUAGAAAUAGUACCGCAAGGGAAAGAUGAAAACCAAUGAAACACUCACUAAGCCUUAAAAAGCAAAGAUUAAUCCUUAUACCUUUUGCAUCAUGAUUUAGCCAGCACAUUCAAGCAAAGAGCCCUAAAGUCUGAAUCCCCGAAACCAAGUGAGCUACUUAAAGGCAGCCAUACCUAGGGCUAAAUCCGUCUCUGUGGCAAAAGAGUGGAAAGACCUUUAAGUAGUGGUGAAAAGCCUAACGAACUUGGUGAUAGCUGGUUGUUCAAUAAAGGAAUAUAAGUUCAACCUUAAACCUCCUAAUAACAAUCCAAAGUAAAAAGAAAGGUUUAAGAUUUAUUCAAUUGGGGUACAGCCCAAUUGAAAAAGGAUACAACCUAAUAAUGGAGGACAAAACACCAAUAACACAAUUAACCGUAGGCCUUAAAGCAGCCACCACCAAAGAGAGCGUCAAAGCUCACUCCAACAUUAAAUAAUAACAUAAAAAUUUUUCCCCAAAAAACAUUGAACCACUCUACUUAAAUAGAAGAACUAAUGCUAAAAUGAGUAACAAGAAGACAAAACUUCUCUAAUGCACUAGCUUAAGUUAUAACAGACAAACUACUAACUAUUAACAACCAACACUAUAAAACAAUAACAUUUAAAACACCCUAUAAAUCCAACUGUUAACCCAACACAGGAGCGCACACAAGAAAGAUUAAAACUUGUAAAAGGAACUAGGCAAAUAAACGAACCCGACUGUUUACCAAAAACAUAGCCCCUAGCAAUACACAAGUAUUAGGGGUAAUGCCUGCCCAGUGACACUGUUAAACGGCCGCGGUAUCCUAACCGUGCAAAGGUAGCGUAAUCACUUGUCUUUUAAAUAAAGACUAGAAUGAAUGGCCAAACGAGGUUCUACCUGUCUCUUACGAGUAAUCAGUGAAAUUGAUCUUCCUGUGCAAAAGCAGGAAUAACAUUAUAAGACGAGAAGACCCUGUGGAACUUCAAAUACAAAUCAACUACCAUUAACACCUACACCUACGGGACCAACAUCAAACUAACAUCUGAUUUAUAUUUUUCGGUUGGGGCGACCUCGGAGUAAAACAAAACCUCCAAAAACAGAACUCUACCUAAACCUAGACCUACAAUCCAAAGUGCUUUCAGUAAAACGAUCCAAUAUAUUUGAUCAGCGAACCAAGCUACCCCAGGGAUAACAGCGCAAUCCCAUCCUAGAGUCCCCAUCGACGAUGGGGUUUACGACCUCGAUGUUGGAUCAGGACAUCCUGAUGGUGCAGCCGCUAUCAAGGGUUCGUUUGUUCAACGAUUAAUAGUCCUACGUGAUCUGAGUUCAGACCGGAGUAAUCCAGGUCGGUUUCUAUCUAUAAAUUUCAAGCCUUUUCUAGUACGAAAGGACCGAAAAGACAAGGCCUAUACUAAAACUUAAGCCUUAACUUAUAUUAGUGAAAACAACUUAACUAAUAAUAAGACAAAAAACCACAGCCCUAGAAAAGGGCUAA